Molecule: unclassified non-coding RNA, 660 nt
Filed under: Hevea brasiliensis (rubber tree)
Lineage: Eukaryota; Viridiplantae; Streptophyta; Magnoliopsida; Malpighiales; Euphorbiaceae
Source: RNAcentral
GGAAGCUAUGGAAAUCCCAGUCCAGCAGAAGAAGAUUUCACUCGAUGUUAAGGGAAUUAAAACAGAUAUAGUCAUAUGUGCCUAUGAUGACCAUUUUAUGGCUAUAGCUACUCAAAUAGGAAGCAUGGGUACGAUAUUGCAGGCCAGGAAGGAGGAAGGGGUGUCGAUCCAUCCAACCUUUAGUGUUUCUGUAUUACUGGGCAAACGCGAUGAGCCCAUGCUGGUUGCAUGCGCUCGGCAGAUUAUUGAACACAUAAGUAAUGCCGGAUCUUCUAGGUCUUUGGUUUUAUCUCUUGGACUACGCGACCAUUCUCUGCCCACUUUGAAGGGUAUCGUUUCGGCUGUCACUGAGAACUGCCUUUGGUGACCUAGGCUCUUGUCAAUUUUGGAUUGUUCAUAGUUGUUAUAGCCAGAAGAGAGAAACUUAAUGAUUGAUUCAGUCCUGUGAAGUGUUUAUUGCUUACUUUUCCUCAAUGAUGUUCUAUUAUUAUCAGCAAGACUUCUCUAGACUGUAAAAAAAGUGUUUCUAUUGGUGUCCUUAUUGAGAGAGGGGCUUUAUGACUCACUCUAGAAAUGCAUUUAUUGUGAUCAUUCGAGUGUUUUGGUGCAAAUGGAGAUUGCGAUUUGUUCUCUCUUUUUCAAACAAUUGUAACGAGGAUU